CUAGUGGGAAAACUUUCCCCUAUUCUUUUCUCUCAUCUGCGACUUCACCUUCAUUGCCUUUUUUAACCUAAUUCAUUCAUUUUCAUUCUUUGCUGCAUGUGUCUUCCAGAUUACUCUCACCCAUAGCAAAUCCCCAUCCCUUUCUCUAUUGUCUGAACUUCAGAGUCGUCAAAGUUCCGAAGAAACUGCACAAGCUAUGAGAGGCCAAAAUCUACCACAUUCUUCUGGCUCAACUCAUGCCCCGAGUUUUGGAAAGGAAAAUACGGGUGAUGCAAUUGAAAAUGGAGGCCACAAAUCAAUUUGAUUCAUUAAAGUGAACGGUGAAGACCUUCUGAACAAUUGUAAUGUUUAUUUUUAUUGAUACUGUAAAUAUGAGUACAUUUGGUUUGUAGAGCUCUUUGCUAGUGAACCUCUUGAACCAACAGUACUUUAUUACUGUAGAUAGUACACAAAGUAUGUUUCUUUGUUGAA
Nicotiana attenuata is the source of this 471-nucleotide long non-coding RNA. RefSeq lists it as uncharacterized. Lineage: Eukaryota; Viridiplantae; Streptophyta; Magnoliopsida; Solanales; Solanaceae. The record is from RefSeq and is a predicted model, not a curated record. The transcript has 3 exons.